UUGCUUUGACCUUAGGCUAGCUACUUGAUUUCUCCUGUUAUUUUUAAUGGAAAUUACAGAAAUCUCUCCCCCAGAACUCCACAGGCUUUGCUAAUAAAAGUAAUUUUGGUGGUUCUGUGACAAACAAGAGAACCUGAAAAACCAGAGACUGAACAUUUUUUUCCAGAAGUAGACACUUUUUGUGUUAGGAAACUUAGCCAAAGACUUGGACACUGUGAAGAGGCCAGUCAUUUUUCUUUCCUUAUUUUUAAAUUGUUUUUGUUUAUUUAUUUUGAGACAAGGACCCGCUAUGUAGUUCAGGCUGUCCUUGACUUCACUAUGUAGCUUAGGCGGGCCUUGAAGUCACAGCAAUCCUCUUGCCUCAGCCUCCUGAGUGCUGGGAUCACAGGCAUGUGUUACCAUGCCCAGCAAGGCCUGUCAUCUUUCUAACCAGUAGCCAACUACAGCUCUUGCCCUUGAAGAGGAGUAAGAUGGCAAACAUAGUUGCAUUUGUUCUGCUCUUUGCCUGUGUGACCCAGGGACUACUGGGAAUGUUUCCACUUUCCUGACUGAAUGAAGCAGUUGCCAUCUAUAAGGUGAAGGGCCUCUGCUACUCUCUUCCUUUCAAGUUAGUUACACAGCCCCAUGAUAGAAACUGCCAGGAGAGUUUCAGAAGGAAGCAGGUCCCUGGAGUGUGUGAGCAUCACAGAAGAAGAAGGAACUGACAUGGGGUAGGGACAGAGAUGCCAUGGACACCGGGGUCUUCCUGUAGUAGUAAAGCAAGAGCCUGUGGCAGGCAGCCAGGUGAGCAGCCACAACACAUGGAGGGAUGGAGACACAUAGGAUGCAAGGCUUGGGGUGGCCUAGCUUCUGAAGCAUUGUGGAAGGAGGAAAUGGAGUGCCAGCAAGGGCCAUCCAUUUAUUAAGUAUUUCUCAAGAGGUGAUUGCCUGCUAAGUGGCUGGGCCACUGUUAGGGGUAAACAUUGCUGCACAACACAUCAGCCUCAAACUCAGAGGCUUAAAACUAUAGCCAUUUUGUUUCCUUUUGCAUUUCUGUGAGUUGACUGAGCUCAGCUGUGUUCCUGUCUGUAUCAUAAUAGCUACAGCUGAGGAAUCUAGGGCACAGCUCAGCUGGAACCUCCACGUGGGCUCACCCACAGAAACGGCCAUAGGUGCUAACUGUGGGCUGGGAGGCUAGCUAGGGGCUCCACCUGGAGGGUCUCAGUUUCCUUCUUUGUGGCUUCUCCAUAUGACUUGGGCUUCUGGGUUCCAAGGACCAGGAAGUGAAAGCUUCAGUUCUCUUAAAUCCUGGGCUCAGAAGUCCCAGAAUAUCACUUCUGCCUCAUCUAUUGGGCAAAGCCAAUCAUUGGACAUAUUAGUUAUCUACCGCUGCAUACAAUUCCCAAACUUACUGGUUUAAGAUGACUAUAAGCAUUUAUCUCUCAUUAUUUCUGUGGGUGAGGAAUUACAGAACAGCUUUUCUGAGGAGUUCUGGCUUGGGAAGUCUCAUGAGAUUGUAGACAAAAUGUCUCCCAGGGCUGCACUCAUCGGCAGGAUCCAUUUUCAAGGUGGCUCAUUUAUCAGGUUGGCUAACUGGUAUUUGCUGUUGGCAGGAAUUCUUCCCUGUAUGAGCUUCUCCACGGGCUGUUUAAGUGUCUUCACAACAUGGUGGCUAUUUGCCCCAGCAAGUGAUCCAAGAGACAAGAACCCAUGACCUAUCACUUCAAUGGCUGGACAUGAGCAAGGAGCUGGGUCCGGACACGGCUGCCUACUGCUGCCCCGCGUGCUAGGGUGACGAGAGCUGGAGCUACAAACAUCUGGUCUGCAGCUGGGCCAAGUCCCAGAGCCUGUCGGCCUCGCCCACCCUGGGCAGCACCAAGGAGUUCAGGAGAACGCGCUUUCUCCAUGGACCAUGCCCAGUGAUCACAUUUGGACCAAAGGCCUGCGUGCUGCCGAACCCCCAGACCAUCAUGCACAUUCAGGACCCUGCAAGCCAGGGGUUGACGUGGAACAAGUCCCCAAAGAGUGUGCUUGUCAUCAAGAAGAUCCGAGAUGCCAGCUUGCUUCAGCCUUUCAAGGAGCUCUGCAUAUACCUCAUGGAGGAGAACGGCAUGAUCCUGUACGUGGAGAAGAAGGGGCUGGAGGACCCUGCCAUUGCACGUGACGACAACUUCGGACCAGUGAAGAAGAGGUUCUGCACCUUCUGGGAAGAUUGUGACGACAUUUCCAACCAAAUAGACUUCAUCAUAUGCCUGGGAGGUGACGGGACCCUGCUGUACGCCUCCUCACUGUUCCAGGGCAGUGUGCCUCCUGUCAUGGCCUUCCACCUGGGCUCCCUGGGCUUCCUGACCCCGUUCACCCUCAAGAGCUUCUAGUUGCAGCUGACCCAGGUGAUUGAAGGGAACGCUGCUGUGGUGCUCCGGAGCCGGCUGAAGGUCAGGGUGGUGAAGGAGCCCUGCAGCAAGAAGAUGGCCAAGCACAACGGGCUCAGCGAGAACGGGCUGCCGGGCCCCCCCCCUCGAGGGCGGGAAGCAGGCCCUGCAGUACCAGGUCCUGAACGAGGUCGUGAUCGACAGGGGCCCUUCCUAGUACCUGUCCAACGUGGACGUCUACCUGGACUGACACCUCAUCACCACGAUGCAGGGCGAUGGAGUGAUCGUGUCCACCCCAACGGGCAGCAUGGCGUACGCGGCUGCAGCCGGUGCCUCCAUGAUCCACCCCAACGUGCCAGCCAUCAUGAUCACACCCAUCUGCCCCCACUCGCUGACCUUCCAGCCCAUCGUGGUCCCCGCGGGGGUGGAGCUGAAGAUCACGCUGUCACCAGAAGCCAGGAACACUGCGUGGGUGUCCUUGGACGGACGGAAGCGGCAGGAGAUACGCCACGGAGACAGCAUCACCAUCGCCACCUCCUGCUACCCGCUCCCCUCCAUCUGCAUCAGCGACCCUGUGAAUGACUGGUUUGAGAGCCUGGCGC
Molecule: long non-coding RNA, 2953 nt
Filed under: Heterocephalus glaber (naked mole-rat)
Lineage: Eukaryota; Metazoa; Chordata; Mammalia; Rodentia; Bathyergidae
Description: lncRNA (ENSHGLG00000035316.1)
Source: RNAcentral